UGAUGGGUAUUUGUGUUUAAUAGCCUAUUUUAUUGAUGAAAAAUAGAUAUUGCGAAAGAAAAUUCCCAACUUUUAUUUUAUGCCUCCUACAUAUAAUGAUAUAUCUUUAUGUAAAAUAAUGUAUAAUUUGUUAAUUGAUUGGGGGAUUAAAAAAAUUAUGCUAAAUGAUUUUAGAUAUGCAUCAGUAAAUGAUAUGUUUUUGACAUGC
This 208-nucleotide long non-coding RNA is filed under the name Elaeis guineensis (African oil palm). Its description in RNAcentral is "long non-coding RNA (EGUI_LNC017145)". The record is from RNAcentral. Lineage: Eukaryota; Viridiplantae; Streptophyta; Magnoliopsida; Arecales; Arecaceae.